GACGAACGCUGGCGGCGUGCUUAACACAUGCAAGUCGAACGAAGAGCGAUGGAAGCUUGCUUCUAUCAGCCUUAGUGGCGAACGGGUGAGUAACGCGUAAUCAACCUGCCCUUCAGAGGGGGACAACAGUUGGAAACGACUGCUAAUACCGCAUACGAUCUAAACUCGGCAUCGAGGAUAGAUGAAAGGUGGCCUCUACAUGUAAGCUAUCACUGAAGGAGGGGAUUGCGUCUGAUUAGCUAGUUGGAGGGGUAACGGCCCACCAAGGCGAUGAUCAGUAGCCGGUCUGAGAGGAUGAACGGCCACAUUGGGACUGAGACACGGCCCAGACUCCUACGGGAGGCAGCAGUGGGGAAUCUUCUGCAAUGGACGAAAGUCUGACGGAGCAACGCCGCGUGAGUGAUGACGGCCUUCGGGUUGUAAAGCUCUGUUAAUCGGGACGAAAGGCCUUCUUGCGAAUAGUGAGAAGGAUUGACGGUACCGGAAUAGAAAGCCACGGCUAACUA
Molecule: ribosomal RNA, 506 nt
Filed under: uncultured bacterium
Lineage: Bacteria
Description: partial 16S ribosomal RNA
Rfam family: Bacterial small subunit ribosomal RNA
Source: RNAcentral